GUGAGGAAUAUUGGUCAAUGGACGGAAGUCUGAACCAGCCAUGCCGCGUGCAGGAAUAAGGUCCUAUGGAUUGUAAACUGCUUUUAUUCGGGAAUAAACCUCUUUACGUGUAGGGAGCUGAAGGUACCGAAGGAAUAAGCACCGGCUAACUCCGUGCCAGCAGCCGCGGUAAUACGGAGGGUGCAAGCGUUAUCCGGUAUCAUUGGGUUUAAAGGGUCCGCAGGCGGGCUAUCAAGUCAGAGGUGAAAUCCCACAGCGUAACUGUGGAACUGCCUUUGAAACUGAUGGUCUUGAAUUAAGUGGGCGUUGGCGGAAUAUGACAUGUAGCGGUGAAAUGCAUAGAUAUGUCAUGGAACACCGAAAGCGAAGGCAGCUAACGAUACUUAUAUUGACGCUCAUGGACGAAAGCGUGGGUAGCGAACAGGAUUAGAAACCCCAGUAGUCC
RNAcentral lists this ribosomal RNA (445 nucleotides) under uncultured bacterium. Its description in RNAcentral is "partial 16S ribosomal RNA". It matches the Rfam family "Bacterial small subunit ribosomal RNA", at positions 354 to 796 of the family's 1533-position model. The record is from RNAcentral.